Molecule: ribosomal RNA, 492 nt
Filed under: uncultured bacterium
Lineage: Bacteria
Description: partial 16S ribosomal RNA
Rfam family: Bacterial small subunit ribosomal RNA
Source: RNAcentral
AGUGAACGCUGGCGGUAGGCCUAACACAUGCAAGUCGAACGGCAGCACAGUAAGAGCUUGCUCUUACGGGUGGCGAGUGGCGGACGGGUGAGGAAUACAUCGGAGUCUACUUUUUCGUGGGGGAUAACGUAGGGAAACUUACGCUAUUACCGCAUACGACCUACGGGUGAAAGCAGGGGAUCUUCGGACCUUGCGCGAUUGAAUGAGCCGAUGUCGGAUUAGCUAGUUGGCGGGGUAAAGGCCCACCAAGGCGACGAUCCGUAGCUGGUCUGAGAGGAUGAUCAGCCACACUGGAACUGAGACACGGUCCAGACUCCUACGGGAGGCAGCAGUGGGGAAUAUUGGACAAUGGGCGCAAGCCUGAUCCAGCCAUACCGCGUGGGUGAAGAAGGCCUUCGGGUUGUAAAGCCCUUUUGUUGGGAAAGAAAAGCAGCAGGUUAAUACCCCGCUGUUCUGACGGUACCCAAAGAAUAAGCACCGGCUAACUUCGUG